UUGGGAGGAAGCUUGGGAAGCGGAGGGCACGGCUUCUUCGUAAAUGGAGGAAUCUUCGGAAGAGGAGGAAGUGGCUUGUGAGGAAUAGGAGGGAAGGGUUUCGGUUUGUAAAUAGGAACCGGCGGUGGAAGCGGCUUCUUAUAAACCGGUACCGGAUGAGGCUUAUAAACCGGUGGUUUGUAGACAGGAACCGGCGGUGGAAGCGGCUUCUUGUAGACCGGCACCGGAUGAGGCUUAUAAACCGGUGGUUUGUAGACAGGAACCGGCGGAGGGAGUGGUUUCUUGUAGACCGGCACCGGGUGAGGCUUAUAAACCGGUGGUGGAAGAGGUUUCUUGUAGAUGGGAGGGUGAGGGUAAUGAUGGUGGAAGCUUUUCAAUGGCGGAAGUGGUGGAAGCUUAGGCAAUGGAGGGAAGUUGUGGUGGUGGUGAGGCCAAAAGGAGGCUGAGACACAUGUUAUUGGUGAGAAUUUGAGGUUCUCUUUUAACCCAAACUGGUGUUUCUGGUCGGUGGUGGAUUUGAAAACUAGCUUAGAGGAUUCUAAGCCAUUAAUGGAAGGGCAAGGUUGAGGUGAUGAUACAGUGCGAAGCUGUGCGUAGCAAUGUUCAUUCAAUUUGCCAUCUUUGAACAAGUGUUGUGGAAGAGAGACUUUGAAAUUGCCUUGUUUGUCAAGCUUUCCAGACCCUCUGGUUUUGAAAUGGUCACCAUUUUCUGGCUUGCAAUCUAUGGUUACACGAAGACCUAGAAAGAGAAAACGCCAUUAUCAUAACAUCAUAAAUAUUGCUUCAAAUUAAAGAAAGGGAGAAUACACCAUUAACAUAACAUCAUAAAGUUUAAUUCUCUAAUGUUAACAAAAUGUUAGUGUGAUGGUUCACUGGUAGAUUUAUACACUAAUAAUGAAUCAAAUAAAAACCUCUUUUUACUAUUUUUUAGAGCUUUUGCCUUACUCGUGACUAAAAUUUUUAAAUUUUUGGGGAGAAGUGUAUCUUUAUUUAAGCAGCUUUUUGUUUUAUGUAUAAGGUGUAAUGCAGAUUUAUCCCUAUCAUGAGUGCUUGAGUAUCAACUCUUUAAUUGACCAUCGUCAAUACAAAAGUAUGUACAUAUAAUUGAGUUUGAACUUGGAUAUGUAUGUAUAUCAAUCUUAGUGUAAUAAUAUGUGUGUUGAGGAGAGGUCGCGCUUUGGGCCAAUCUUGGACCCUCAAUGAAGGUAUUGUUCUCUGGAUUUCUAUACUCGGUUUUAACUUUGAGUUUUUGUCUCAUAACUUUGAAGGGAGUCCAAAAGGGUUCGCGAAAUUUGAUGGAGCGCCUACUCCACCAAAGAAAUGUUUAACAUUUGGCCUUAAUGGGUUUUGAACUCAUGCCCUUAUAUGGCAUUAGUGGGUAAGAACUAGAUCUGUUCAUGGGUCGGGUUAUCCGCUUAAGCCUAAAGGCCCAUCAGAAAUUUGAAAGGGUUUGAGUAAAAAAUUAGGCCUGAAAAAUAGAUUUGGACAAAAAAAUAGGCCAAUUUAUAAUAUGGGUCGGGCUCGAGGCUUGAACAUUCAAGGCCUGAGCCUGACCCGACCCAUUUUUAAGUUUAUAAUAUUUUAUAUUAUGUUAUUUUUAUAUAUUAUAUAAUUUAGAACACAUUAAAAAAAAUAAACCUAUACUAAAUAUAUAAUACUACUCUAAUGUAAAUAUUAAAAUAAAGUUCAGAUGACUAUAUAAAAAUUUUCAAUAAAUUAAAAAAAGUAUAAAAUUAUUAAAUAUUAAAAUAAUAUAAUAUAAAUAUUUUUAAAAAAUUUAAAAAAUAAUAUGGGUGGACCUAAAAUAGGCUUGGGUUAGUCUUUUGCAAAUAUGGGCUUGUUUGAGUAAAAUUUUAAGCCUAUAUUCCGGGUCGGACCAGGCUUGGACAAGCAUAAAGUAUGUUAAUAUCAUGCCUAAGCCCGACUCGAACCUAUGAACACCUCUAGUAAGAACAUUACCGUGAACUUUCUUAGGCUCUCCUUAAAAUACAAGUGACAAAACUCAGAUAAUCAAACAUCAACACCCACAAACAAUACUUCUGAGGAUCCGGAACCGACCCAAACAACUAACUCCCCCCAGCAAUAUAGGCCACUACAACAUGCAAGGAAUGGCCUCGAAAUUAAUUGAGCAGCUUAG
Molecule: long non-coding RNA, 2137 nt
Filed under: Gossypium barbadense (sea-island cotton)
Lineage: Eukaryota; Viridiplantae; Streptophyta; Magnoliopsida; Malvales; Malvaceae
Description: long non-coding RNA (GBAR_LNC015839)
Source: RNAcentral